RNAcentral lists this ribosomal RNA (253 nucleotides) under uncultured bacterium. RNAcentral describes it as "partial 16S ribosomal RNA". It matches the Rfam family "Bacterial small subunit ribosomal RNA", at positions 524 to 776 of the family's 1533-position model. The record is from RNAcentral.
UACGUAGGUGGCAAGCGUUGUCCGGAUUUAUUGGGUUUAAAGGGUGCGUAGGCGGUCUAUUAAGUCAGUGGUGAAAUAUCGCAGCUUAACUGUGAGGGUGCCAUUGAUACUGAUGGACUUGAGUGAAGUCGAAGUAGGCGGAAUUGACGGUGUAGCGGUGAAAUGCUUAGAUAUCGUCAAGAACACCGAUGGCGAAGGCAGGUCUCUGGGCUAACACUGACGCUCAUGCACGAAAGCGUGGGGAGCAAACAGG